RNAcentral lists this ribosomal RNA (373 nucleotides) under uncultured bacterium. RNAcentral describes it as "bacterial SSU rRNA". It matches the Rfam family "Bacterial small subunit ribosomal RNA", at positions 510 to 881 of the family's 1533-position model. The record is from RNAcentral.
CACAGCCGCGGUAAUACGAAGGGUGCAAGCGUUACUCGGAAUNACUGGCCGUAAAGCGUGCGUAGGUGGUUAUUUAAGUCCGUUGUGAAAGCCCUGGGCUCAACCUGGGAACUGCAGUGGAUACUGGAUGACUAGAAUGUGGUAGAGGGUAGCGGAAUUCCUGGUGUAGCAGUGAAAUGCGUAGAGAUCAGGAGGAACAUCCAUGGCGAAGGCAGCUACCUGGACCAACAUUGACACUGAGGCACGAAAGCGUGGGGAGCAAACAGGAUUAGAUACCCUGGUAGUCCACGCCCUAAACGAUGCGAACUGGAUGUUGGGUGCAAUUUGGCACGCAGUAUCGAAGCUAACGCGUUAAGUUCGCCGCCUGGGGAGU